CCUACGGGUGGCAGCAGUGAGGAAUAUUGGUCAAUGGGCGCGAGCCUGAACCAGCCAAGUAGCGUGAAGGAUGACUGCCCUACGGGUUGUAAACUUCUUUUAUAAAGGAAUAAAGUGAGGCACGUGUGCCUUUUUGUAUGUACUUUAUGAAUAAGGAUCGGCUAACUCCGUGCCAGCAGCCGCGGUAAUACGGAGGAUCCGAGCGUUAUCCGGAUUUAUUGGGUUUAAAGGGAGCGUAGAUGGGUUGUUAAGUCAGUUGUGAAAGUUUGCGGCUCAACCGUAAAAUUGCAAUUGAUACUGGCAGCCUUGAGUACAGUUGAGGUAGGCGGAAUUCGUGGUGUAGCGGUGAAAUGCGUAGAUAUUAGGAGGAACACCAGUGGCGAAGGCGACUUUCUGGACUGUACCUGACGCUGAGGCGCGAAAGCGUGGGUAGCGAACGGGAUUAGAUACCCGGGUAGUC
Molecule: ribosomal RNA, 460 nt
Filed under: uncultured bacterium
Lineage: Bacteria
Description: partial 16S ribosomal RNA
Rfam family: Bacterial small subunit ribosomal RNA
Source: RNAcentral